Molecule: ribosomal RNA, 433 nt
Filed under: uncultured bacterium
Lineage: Bacteria
Description: partial 16S ribosomal RNA
Rfam family: Bacterial small subunit ribosomal RNA
Source: RNAcentral
AACGAACGCUGGCGGCAUGCCUAACACAUGCAAGUCGAACGAGACCUUCGGGUCUAGUGGCGCACGGGUGCGUAACACGUGGGAAUCUGCCCUUUGCUUCGGAAUAACAGUUAGAAAUGACUGCUAAUACCGGAUGAUGUCGAAAGACCAAAGAUUUAUCGGCAAAGGAUGAGCCCGCGUAGGAUUAGGUAGUUGGUGGGGUAAAGGCCUACCAAGCCGACGAUCCUUAGCUGGUCUGAGAGGAUGAUCAGCCACACUGGGACUGAGACACGGCCCAGACUCCUACGGGAGGCAGCAGUGGGGAAUAUUGGACAGUGGGCGAAAGCCUGAUCCAGCAAUGCCGCGUGAGUGAUGAAGGCCUUAGGGUUGUAAAGCUCUUUUACCAGGGAUGAUAAUGACAGUACCUGGAGAAUAAGCUCCGGCUAACUCCGUG